UCACAGUUCCUACUUAGGACUAUGUGUCCGAGCCCUUGAGGGUAAAGAGAGAGAAGGAAAGAAAGGGGCCUUUGGAGACACCUCCAGGAAGAGACUGUGCAUUUGUUUUUGUAGAUGUGCUCACGGGCCACGCAUGUCCCAGGAGGGGGGCGGGGAGAGGGGGACCACAGUGAAUCUUGAGCAGAGCCCUCUGCUGGGGAGGGGCGCCCCCUGACCCACUUUCGUGCUGUCCCCUGCCCUGGGGUCGCCGCCCCACCCUGGGUGGAAAUGCUAACCCGGAGGGCUGCACCGCGCGCGGCGUGGGAGGCCGCCCGCUCCCCACCCUAAGCCGCGACCCUGGGGCGCGGGGCGUGCGGGGACCCCAGGGUCGGCCCGUGCCGGAGCAGCCUCGCGCGGGCUCCCGGGUCCCCCCGAACCUCGGGCGUGUGCAAGGACCCUCGGGCCACCGCCUGGGUCCCUGGCACCUCAGCCCCCCAGCGGAGGGAAAAGGAGAUUGAGGAGGGGAAGAAACAGUAAACAGCUCCAGCGUCCGGGCCUCGCCUCUGAGAGAGCCCCGCUCCCCAGGCCCUGCCGGCGGCCGGCGGGAUCCCCCGCUGUCCCCGGGGCCGCGCUGUCCCGGACCCGGAGCACCCGAGGAGAGUCCGGGCCUCUCCCCGGAUGGCUCUGGAGGCUCCUGAAGCGACCCGGGCAGCGGAGAACGGGGAAGUCAGGACUUACCUGUCAUUACUUUCUACGCCAUCUUGGAUCCACUUGUCAACGUCCCCACAAAGCAUUAUGGGCGGCGACCCCAGGCGGCGGGACAAGGUAGAGGGCGGGCGCCACGCUGGCUCUGGGCAGAGAGAGGAGGGGGAUGUCCAGAGUGGCUUGGAGGCGACCAGGACGCAGGAAGUAGGAGGCGACCGUGCGCCGGCAACAGACCUUUGCGAGCAUCCCGCGGGCAUCUGCUUUCUGGUUGCAAGACAAGCCCAGCGCUUUCCCCGCCCCUCCCGCGUUGCUUCAGGCGAGCAACACCUAGCUCAGUGUCAGCACUGCUGAGUUUGAGGACCUCUAGAUGCUCGCCUCCCCGGAGCAAGAUUUGUGUCCAAAAGAAAAUGCUCCGAGACUUCCGGGUAGAUCCUGUUGUUUAGCUUUAGCGAGGGUUUAAUCCCCAGUAAUAAAUAAAUCUCCAAUAUACCAAAGCUUGCUGUUAAAUGGUUCUGUAAAUUCAAAGAUCCUGAGGCAACAGGCACUAUCGCGCAAACACACUCUUUUCGGUGCAAAGGGUCUUAGAUCUACCUUUUUUAGUCACCUCUGGAUCCCACCAGAGCAGUCUUUAGCUACCUGGGUGAUUGCUGACAACCUCUGCCCGCAGGGAGCCAAAAGCUCCACCAUUCUAUUGUCUCAGCCUGAAGAGAAGGGUGAGGUGCGGACUCAUUAAGGGAUUGGCCCCGGGGUCACUCUUGAGGGAGGGAGCAGGUGAGUCAUUCCAACGGACUAGGAAGAGGUUUUCCAGGGAGGAACCUCCCCUGAGUCACCGCUUUUCAGAGCUUCUGAGAAGCUUCAGUUGAGUUGGAGACAAGAGCUCUGGGCACCUCUAGGGUGGUCAGGGUGUCCACUACCUGUCCCUUGGCUCUCCCUGCUAAGGAAGGCGCCCACGUCUUGUUUCCAGGGUACCCUAGCUGCUCCUCCUCCAGUUCCUGCAUUUCUUUAGCCACUAGGAUGCACUAAUGUGAUGAUUGGCAACUUCAAGUGGGCGAUCUGAGCUUCCUUGUAAGUAAGUAAUCAACCGAAGCACACGGGCUAUGCCUGCCAAGCUGCCUCUUUGCUAGGUAGCCUUUCUUUGCUUUAGAAAAGCUUUGGCCCAAAGACAGGUUCCAUUUAUGUCACUGCCUCUGGUGUGUGUUCUGGCAGGUUCUUGUCCCAGAUGCCACCUGUUACCUGUGCUGAAAGAACCUCCUCCAGGAGGUUCUCCCGCUCCGGGCCUGCCCUUCCAUUCUGACCAACUCAGAUAGACAGUUGUAGUUCACAUUUGUGAAAUACAAAUCUUACUUACGCCUUCACAUCACAAUUGAGAUGAGCCUAAGUUCCCAGCCAUAGCCUACAAGAUCAAUAUGAGAUUGCCCUUCCUCCAUAAUGAGUCCAGUGUGGCCUCUCUCUUCCCUACAUCACCCCACGAUCUUUCCCUGAGAAAAAUAUUUCCCUUGAUCUGCCAGUCAUCAGCUCAUCAUCCAGGUCUCUGUUUGUGUCACUCCUCCAGAAGGACAUCUACCAUCCCCUUAAAUGAAACAGGCCGCCGGGCUUGGUGGCACAUGCCUUU
Molecule: long non-coding RNA, 2296 nt
Organism: Mus musculus (house mouse)
Lineage: Eukaryota; Metazoa; Chordata; Mammalia; Rodentia; Muridae
Product: predicted gene, 39426
Exons: 3
Source: RefSeq, a predicted model, not a curated record